RNAcentral lists this ribosomal RNA (543 nucleotides) under uncultured bacterium. RNAcentral describes it as "bacterial SSU rRNA". It matches the Rfam family "Bacterial small subunit ribosomal RNA", at positions 777 to 1317 of the family's 1533-position model. The record is from RNAcentral.
AAUAGAUACCCGGGUAGUCCUAGCCGUAAACGAUGGACACUAGGUGUUGGUGGUAUCAACCCCACCAGUGCCGAAGCUAACGCAUUAAGUGUCCCGCCUGGGGAGUACGGCCGCAAGGCUAAAACUCAAAGGAAUUGACGGGGCCCCGCACAAGCAGCGGAGCGUGGGGUUUAAUUCGAUGCAACGCGAAGAACCUUACCAGGGCUUGACAUGACCAGGAAUCCGGCGGAAACGUCGGCGUCCCGCAAGGGACCUGGCCACAGGUGUUGCAUGGCUGUCGUCAGCUCGUGUCGUGAGAUGUUGGGUUAAGUCCCGCAACGAGCGCAACCCUUAUCCUAUGUUGCCAGCGGGUAAUGCCGGGGACUCGUAGGAGACUGCCGGGGUCAACUCGGAGGAAGGUGGGGAUGAAGUCAAGUCAUCAUGCCCCUUAUGCCCAGGGCUGCAAACACGCUACAAUGGCCGGUACAGAGGGCUGCGAUCCCGUGAGGGUGAGCGAAUCCCACAAAGCCGGUCUCAGUUCGGAUUGGAGUCUGCAACUCGACU